This 472-nucleotide ribosomal RNA is filed under the name uncultured bacterium. RNAcentral describes it as "bacterial SSU rRNA". It matches the Rfam family "Bacterial small subunit ribosomal RNA", at positions 34 to 507 of the family's 1533-position model. The record is from RNAcentral.
CGCUGGCGGCGUGCCUAACACAUGCAAGUCGAGCGAGAAGCUUAUGAACGAGCCUUCGGGCGAGUGAUUAAGUGGAAAGCGGCGGACGGGUGAGUAACGCGUGAGUAACCUGCCUGUGUGAGGGGGACAACAGCUGGAAACGGCUGCUAAUACCGCAUAAUGUAUAACUUCCGCAUGGGAGAUAUACCAAAGAUUUAUCGCACACAGAUGGACUCGCGUUGGAUUAGCUAGUUGGUAAGGUAACGGCUUACCAAGGCGACGAUCCAUAGCCGGACUGAGAGGUUGAACGGCCACAUUGGGACUGAGACACGGCCCAGACUCCUACGGGAGGCAGCAGUGGGGGAUAUUGCACAAUGGGCGAAAGCCUGAUGCAGCGACGCCGCGUGAGUGAAGAAGUAUUUCGGUAUGUAAAGCUCUAUCAGCAGGGAAGAUAAUGACAGUACCUGACUAAGAAGCCCCGGCUAACUACGUG